CUCCACCCUCCACCCUGUUCUAUGGCCCUGGGCGUGACUUGCUCUUGCCCCUUGCCUUCUGUUUGGAUCCUGCCAAUGAGGACUCCUAGCAGGAGAUGGGGGCUCUCAUAUUUAACUGAAAGGCUCAGCUCCACGCAGCGUUUCUGUCUCCAGCCCACACAGCACGAUGAGAUAAAGACUAGAGGCUGCUCACUGCUGAGAGUGGACCAUCCAGCUCAUUUGGUCACAUAAUUUCCAGCCAGCCACCUUAUGGGCAAGAUUUUGGCUCACCUGUAAGCUAUUAGCUGGAAAAUACUGGCUUCAUGAAAUGGCUUGGAAGAUUUGGAGGCAACCUAAAUGUCCAUCAACAGAUGAAUGGAUAAAGAACAACAGGGUGACUAAAGUCAAUAAUAAUUUAAUUAUACAUUUA
This 409-nucleotide long non-coding RNA is filed under the name Homo sapiens (human). RNAcentral describes it as "HSALNT0381106". The record is from RNAcentral. Lineage: Eukaryota; Metazoa; Chordata; Mammalia; Primates; Hominidae.